UUUGGGGAGACACCAGACUGAUCCAGGACCAGAGCAGCACAAGUGACUCCAACUGCCAGAACUGACCAUGAAAUACCUGGGAAUCCUGAUGAUUCUUGUAGUCUCUGCAACUGUCAUCUCAGCAAUUAUUAAAUUUCCACAUGAUGAACCAAUAGAUUGUCCCUGUGAGCCUUGCGAUUUUGUUUGCUGCACAAAGAUCGUAUCAGUGGAAAGGUGCAGGAGAUGUGAAAUACGGAAGUGCCCGGAGUUAGUUCGCAGGAAAUAGUGAGUUGUGACUUCUCUUCCAGCCCCAGGGAGAUGCCAUAAAGGGAAAGUAACCCCUGUCAUAAUGACACAUUUAUCUGAAUGACAACAAAUAAAAUGUUUAUGUGCUACA
Molecule: long non-coding RNA, 376 nt
Organism: Xenopus laevis (African clawed frog)
Lineage: Eukaryota; Metazoa; Chordata; Amphibia; Anura; Pipidae
Exons: 3
Source: RefSeq, a predicted model, not a curated record